RNAcentral lists this unclassified non-coding RNA (307 nucleotides) under plant metagenome. Its description in RNAcentral is "partial contains 5.8S ribosomal RNA, internal transcribed spacer 2, and large subunit ribosomal RNA". The stretch from base 1 to 105 matches the Rfam family "5.8S ribosomal RNA", at positions 50 to 154 of the family's 154-position model. The record is from RNAcentral.
GAAAUGCGAUAAGUAAUGUGAAUUGCAGAAUUCAGUGAAUCAUCGAAUCUUUGAACGCACAUUGCGCCCGCCAGCACUCUGGCGGGCAUGCCUGUUCGAGCGUCAUUUCAACCCUCAGAACCCCUUGCGGGAUCUGGCGUUGGGGAUUGGCAUCCAGCCAGCCCCGAAAUCUAGCGGCGGUCCCUCCGCGACCUCCCCUGUGCAGUAGCGAUACCUCGCAGCGGGACAGCGGUCUGACCACGCCGUAAAACCCCCAACUUCUCAAGGUUGACCUCGAAUCAGGUAGGAAUAUCCGCUGAACUUAAGC